This is a non-coding RNA of Odocoileus virginianus texanus, 776 nucleotides long. NCBI's taxonomy places the organism in Eukaryota, Metazoa, Chordata, Mammalia, Artiodactyla, Cervidae. The record is from RefSeq and is a predicted model, not a curated record.
AAAGGCCUUGGUCCCAAAUGAAGUCGUUAGCAAAUAUCUCUUUGCUCUGCUGGGAGUUCUGUUCUCUCACAACAUCUUUCUGAAUUAUCACUCUGUAUUGAGGCAGCAGUUUUAAUCUUUCAAAUGAAGUAUACAAUCUCAGAAGAGGCCAGUGGUUCCACGGGCGGAAGGGAAGGCUGGUUCUACCCUUGUGCUGGGAGAAACAUUAAGAUCAAGAGCACAGCUAUGGGAGUCAGACAGCCUGGAUCUGAAAUUGGUUCCACUACCAGCUAUAGUUAAAUUCUUCAUUGAAGAAUGCAAUGAAAAGCAAGGUGAAAAAGUCAAGGGUGUAUCCAUGUAUCCCACAUUCAGGGUGUGACUGUUUGCAAGCAGAUGUGCCUUCAGAUGGCCCACCAUGUCUGCAGAGUCUACAGAAAAAUGAAAGAUCACUGCAUACCAAGUAUCAUCUCAACUCAGAGACAUCCCUGCCACGCGGCACACAGAUUUAUAACACUGGGCAAAGGUUUCAACAAAUAUGAUUUCUUCACUCCAAAGUCCAUCUAUGUGUAUUGCCUGAAAUACAGAGCAGUGUGUGAUUGUCUGCUAGUCUCUAAUCCCAGGAGCCUUGGCAGCUGAGGCAGGAUGAGUUCCUAAAACUCUGGAGACAGAGAUGGCUCACACAGGCUGGUGCUGUGUAGGGGUGUUCAUGCAAUUUAUUGCUCUUUUUUCAAACUGACAUAGUGUCUACACCAACACAGCCCAGAAAAAAUAAACUAUUGUAAAUGAAAGAUCUAAAA